AGAGUUUGAUCCUGGCUCAGAAUCAACGCUGGCGGCGUGCCUAACACAUGCAAGUCGAACGAGAAAGUGGAGCAAUCCAUGAGUAAAGUGGCGCACGGGUGAGUAACACGUGACUAACCUACCCUUGAGUGGGGAAUAACUUCGGGAAACCGAGGCUAAUACCGCAUAACACCUACGGGUCAAAGGAGCAAUUCGCUUAAGGAGGGGGUCGCGGCAGAUUAGUUAGUUGGCGGGGUAAUGGCCCACCAAGACGGUGAUCUGUAUCCGGCCUGAGAGGGCGCACGGACACACUGGAACUGAAACACGGUCCAGACUCCUACGGGAGGCAGCAGUGGGGAAUUUUGCGCAAUGGGGGAAACCCUGACGCAGCAACGCCGCGUGGAGGAUGAAGUCCCUUGGGACGUAAACUCCUUUCGAUCGG
Molecule: ribosomal RNA, 421 nt
Filed under: uncultured bacterium
Lineage: Bacteria
Description: bacterial SSU rRNA
Rfam family: Bacterial small subunit ribosomal RNA
Source: RNAcentral